RNAcentral lists this long non-coding RNA (214 nucleotides) under Elaeis guineensis (African oil palm). RNAcentral describes it as "long non-coding RNA (EGUI_LNC001384)". The record is from RNAcentral. Lineage: Eukaryota; Viridiplantae; Streptophyta; Magnoliopsida; Arecales; Arecaceae.
CUUGAGCAUCACCAGAGUAGAAUUGACCCACACUCGAUAGGAUCAAGUUCUUCCCACCUCAAAAAAAUUAGUGUGGACAUCAGAGCCAUCAGAAAUCAGCGACAUGAUGUAGAUUCGAUUUAGAUCGAAGAAGCUCCAUUAGAUUGAUUCUACUUCAGUUAUUUAUUUUUAGUUAAUAAAUUUUUAAUGCAUUUAGCUUGGAAUCCAUAGGACC